AGGGAUUGGAGUUUGGGUUGGAUUUGUGGUAUAACAAUUUUAGGGGAGAUUAUGCCCUUUUUUUUUUUUGUGGUUAUUUGACCAUAUUUGUUUUUUUUGUAGGGAAUCAUCGAGACUUUGACGGCUAAAGUUGAGGAUUAGGAAGCUAUCAAAACAUAUCCUCCGCCACUACCACCACAAUACGCUUGUAUUAGGAUUUUAUUAUUGUACUUUGUUAAUUUAUGUGUACAUUUUGAA
This 237-nucleotide long non-coding RNA is filed under the name Prunus persica (peach). RNAcentral's name for it is "long non-coding RNA (PPER_LNC003110)". Lineage: Eukaryota; Viridiplantae; Streptophyta; Magnoliopsida; Rosales; Rosaceae. The record is from RNAcentral.